This 468-nucleotide ribosomal RNA is filed under the name uncultured bacterium. RNAcentral describes it as "partial 16S ribosomal RNA". It matches the Rfam family "Bacterial small subunit ribosomal RNA", at positions 28 to 507 of the family's 1533-position model. The record is from RNAcentral.
GACGAACGCUGGCGGCGUGCUUAACACAUGCAAGUCGAACGGAAAGGCCCUGCUUUUGUGGGGUGCUCGAGUGGCGAACGGGUGAGUAACACGUGAGUAACCUGCCCUUGACUUUGGGAUAACUUCAGGAAACUGGGGCUAAUACCGGAUAGGAGCUCCUGCUGCAUGGUGGGGGUUGGAAAGUUUCGGCGGUUGGGGAUGGACUCGCGGCUUAUCAGCUUGUUGGUGGGGUAGUGGCUUACCAAGGCUUUGACGGGUAGCCGGCCUGAGAGGGUGACCGGCCACAUUGGGACUGAGAUACGGCCCAGACUCCUACGGGAGGCAGCAGUGGGGAAUAGUGCACAAUGGGCGAAAGCCUGAUGCAGCAACGCCGCGUGCGGGAUGACGGCCUUCGGGUUGUAAACCGCUUUCGCCUGUGACGAAGCGUGAGUGACGGUAAUGGGUAAAGAAGCACCGGCUAACUACGUG